RNAcentral lists this ribosomal RNA (503 nucleotides) under uncultured bacterium. RNAcentral's name for it is "partial 16S ribosomal RNA". It matches the Rfam family "Bacterial small subunit ribosomal RNA", at positions 30 to 523 of the family's 1533-position model. The record is from RNAcentral.
AUUGAACGCUGGGGGCAGGCUUAACACAUGCAAGUCGAGCGGGGUGAUGGUGCUUGCACUAUCACUUAGCGGCGGACGGGUGAGUAAUGCUUAGGAAUCUGCCUAUUAGUGGGGGACAACAUCUCGAAAGGGAUGCUAAUACCGCAUACGUCCUACGGGAGAAAGCAGGGGAUCACUUGUGACCUUGCGCUAAUAGAUGAGCCUAGGUCGGAUUAGCUAGUUGGUGGGGUAAAGGCCUACCAAGGCGACGAUCUGUAGCGGGUCUGAGAGGAGGAUCCGCAACACUGGGACGGAGACGCGGCCCAGACGCCUACGGGAGGCAGCAGUGGGGGAUAUUGGAAAAUGGGGGGAACCCUGAUCCAGCCAUGCCGCGUGUGUGAAGAAGGCCUUAUGGUUGUAAAGCACUUUAAGCGAGGAGGAGGCUCUUUUGGUUAAUACCCAAGAUGAGUGGACGUUACUCGCAGAAUAAGCACCGGCUAACUCUGUGCCAGCAGCCGCCGUAA